AGUGAACGCUGGCGGUAGGCCUAACACAUGCAAGUCGAACGGCAGCACAGUAAGAGCUUGCUCUUACGGGUGGCGAGUGGCGGACGGGUGAGGAAUACAUCGGAAUCUACUUUUUCGUGGGGGAUAACGUAGGGAAACUUACGCUAAUACCGCAUACGACCUACGGGUGAAAGCAGGGGAUCUUCGGACCUUGCGCGAUUGAAUGAGCCGAUGUCGGAUUAGCUAGUUGGCGGGGUAAAGGCCCACCAAGGCGACGAUCCGUAGCUGGUCUGAGAGGAUGAUCAGCCACACUGGAACUGAGACACGGUCCAGACUCCUACGGGAGGCAGCAGUGGGGAAUAUUGGACAAAGGGCGCAAGCCUGAUCCAGCCAUACCGCGUGGGUGAAGAAGGCCUCCGGGUUGUAAAGCCCUUCUGUUGGGAAAGAAAAGCAGCAGGUUAAUACCCCGCUGUUCUGACGGUACCCAAAGAAUAAGCACCGGCUAACUUCGUG
RNAcentral lists this ribosomal RNA (492 nucleotides) under uncultured bacterium. RNAcentral's name for it is "partial 16S ribosomal RNA". It matches the Rfam family "Bacterial small subunit ribosomal RNA", at positions 29 to 507 of the family's 1533-position model. The record is from RNAcentral.